UACGUAGGGUGCAAGCGUUAAUCGGAAUUACUGGGCGUAAAGCGUGCGCAGGCGGUUAUGUAAGACAGAUGUGAAAUGCCCGGGCUCAACCUGGGAACUGCAUUUGUGACUGCAUGGCUAGAGUACGGUAGAGGGGGAUGGAAUUCCGCGUGUAGCAGUGAAAUGCGUAGAUAUGCGGAGGAACACCGAUGGCGAAGGCAAUCCCCUGGACCUGUACUGACGCUCAUGCACGAAAGCGUGGGGAGCAAACAGG
RNAcentral lists this ribosomal RNA (253 nucleotides) under uncultured bacterium. Its description in RNAcentral is "partial 16S ribosomal RNA". It matches the Rfam family "Bacterial small subunit ribosomal RNA", at positions 524 to 776 of the family's 1533-position model. The record is from RNAcentral.